AGGACGAACGCUGGCGGCGUGCUUAACACAUGCAAGUCGAGCGGUAAGGCCUCUUCGGGGGUACACGAGCGGCGAACGGGUGAGUAACACGUGAGCAAUCUGCCCUUCACUUCGGGAUAAGCCUCGGAAACGGGGUCUAAUACCGGAUAUGACCGUGCCAUGCAUGUGGUGUGGUGGAAAGUUCUGGCGGUGGAGGAUGAGCUCGCGGCCUAUCAGCUUGUUGGUGGGGUAAUGGCCUACCAAGGCUUCGACGGGUAGCCGGCCUGAGAGGGUGACCGGCCACACUGGGACUGAGACACGGCCCAGACUCCUACGGGAGGCAGCAGUGGGGAAUAUUGGACAAUGGGCGAAAGCCUGAUCCAGCAACGCCGCGUGAGGAUGACGGCCUUCGGGUUGUAAACCUCUUUCAGCGCCGACGAAGCGAGAGUGACGGUAGGCGCAGAAGAAGCACCGGCAACUGCGUGCCAGCAGCCGCGGUAAUCGAGACGGCGUCGCGA
This 497-nucleotide ribosomal RNA is filed under the name uncultured soil bacterium. Its description in RNAcentral is "bacterial SSU rRNA". It matches the Rfam family "Bacterial small subunit ribosomal RNA", at positions 26 to 537 of the family's 1533-position model. The record is from RNAcentral.